GGGCAUUAAUUUAUCAAUCAAUAUUAUUUCCACUUAAAAAUUCAUGUCAUGAACUGUGUUGACCUUGUUGUGCAGAACUUUAGCUUUAGGUCCCAGUUAUUUGACCCAUAGUCCCAACCCAAUUCUACAGCAAGAGUUUUCACUUUGUUCACCAACUUCCUUCAUUGCAACAAUAUCUACAGUACACGAAAUAAGGACUACAAAAAAAACAUCAAAAAAGAAAGAAAAAUAUAAAAUGAUAAAAAAUGAAAAAAUAAAAACAAGAAAAAAUAACCAAACAACAAUAACAAAGCAAAACUGAAACGAACAGUGGAAAUGUACAAAACCCACGUCAAUGGUUUUUUAAGCCUUUAAUGAUGCUUUGAAAUGGCGAUUCCGG
This 379-nucleotide long non-coding RNA is filed under the name Vigna radiata. RNAcentral's name for it is "long non-coding RNA (VRAD_LNC002317)". The record is from RNAcentral. Lineage: Eukaryota; Viridiplantae; Streptophyta; Magnoliopsida; Fabales; Fabaceae.